AUUGAACGCUGGCGGCAGGCCUAACACAUGCAAGUCGAGCGGAUGAAGGGAGCUUGCUCCUGGAUUCAGCGGCGGACGGGUGAGUAAUGCCUAGGAAUCUGCCUGGUAGUGGGGGAUAACGUCUGGAAACGGGCGCUAAUACCGCAUACGUCCUGAGGGAGAAAGUGGGGGAUCUUCGGACCUCACGCUAUCAGAUGAGCCUAGGUCGGAUUAGCUAGUUGGUGGGGUAAAGGCCUACCAAGGCGACGAUCCGUAACUGGUCUGAGAGGAUGAUCAGUCACACCGGAACUGAGACACGGUCCAGACUCCUACGGGAGGCAGCAGUGGGGAAUAUUGGACAAUGGGCGAAAGCCUGAUCCAGCCAUGCCGCGUGUGUGAAGAAGGUCUUCGGAUUGUAAAGCACUUUAAGUUGGGAGGAAGGGCAGUAAGUUAAUACCUUGCUGUUUUGACGUUACUAACAGAAUAAGCACCGGCUAACUUCGUG
RNAcentral lists this ribosomal RNA (484 nucleotides) under uncultured bacterium. RNAcentral describes it as "partial 16S ribosomal RNA". It matches the Rfam family "Bacterial small subunit ribosomal RNA", at positions 30 to 507 of the family's 1533-position model. The record is from RNAcentral.